RNAcentral lists this ribosomal RNA (496 nucleotides) under uncultured bacterium. RNAcentral describes it as "partial 16S ribosomal RNA". It matches the Rfam family "Bacterial small subunit ribosomal RNA", at positions 29 to 507 of the family's 1533-position model. The record is from RNAcentral.
AUGCACGCUGGCGGCGUGCCUCAUCCCUGCAAGUCGAGCGAACGGACGAGAAGCUUGCUUCUCUGAUGUUGGCGGCGGACGGGUGAGUAACACGUGGAUAACCUACCUAUAAGACUGGGAUAACUUCGGGAAACCGGAGCUAAUACCGGAUAAUAUUUUGAACCGCAUGGUUCAAAAGUGAAAGACGGUCUUGCUGUCACUUAUAGAUGGAUCCGCGCUGCAUUAGCUAGUUGGUAAGGUAACGGCUUACCAAGGCAACGAUGCAUAGCCGACCUGAGAGGGUGAUCGGCCACACUGGAACUGAGACACGGUCCAGACUCCUACGGGAGGCAGCAGUAGGGAAUCUUCCGCAAUGGGCGAAAGCCUGACGGAGCAACGCCGCGUGAGUGAUGAAGGUCUUCGGAUCGUAAAACUCUGUUAUUAGGGAAGAACAUAUGUGUAAGUAACUGUGCACAUCUUGACGGUACCUAAUCAGAAAGCCACGGCUAACUACGUG